Non-coding RNA from Megalobrama amblycephala (Wuchang bream), 387 nucleotides. NCBI's taxonomy places the organism in Eukaryota, Metazoa, Chordata, Actinopteri, Cypriniformes, Xenocyprididae. The record is from the annotation of a RefSeq genome assembly.
AUGGCACAGUCAAUAACACCGCUGGAAAACAAGCUGUUUCAAUCUGCAGGAGAUGAAAUCACUCUGUCCUGUAAAUAUGAUGGAGCAGAUAACCUGCACUGGUAUCGUCAGUAUCCGGGAUCCAAACCAGAGUUCCUCGCAUACAUUUAUCCACAUGGAGACAAAAGUGAUCCUCUUCCUCCUCGUCUUUUACCUAAAGUCGAUAAAAGCAACAAUCUUGUGUAUCUGGAUAUCUCCUCUGCUGAAGUCUCAGACUCUGCGCUGUAUUACUGCGCACUGACGCCCACAGUGACAGGAAACUCAUCCUCACUGUACAAAAACAUCCUCAACAAUAAAUCUCAUAAACUAAAGUUUCAGAAAAGGGCCAGUGCAUCACAAAACACUUAA